UGGGUUGGCCAAAAAGUUCGUUUGGGUUUUUCUGUAACAUCUUAUGGGAAAACCCAAACAAAUUGUUGGCCAACCCA
This 77-nucleotide microRNA precursor is filed under the name Tursiops truncatus (common bottlenose dolphin). Its description in RNAcentral is "miRNA (ENSTTRG00000024404.1)". The record is from RNAcentral. Lineage: Eukaryota; Metazoa; Chordata; Mammalia; Artiodactyla; Delphinidae.